UGAGCAUUUAUAAUACAGUAAAAUAUGCAUAACUUUUGCACUUUGGAGCAUAACAGUUGUGAGUUGUGCAUAACGUAAACUUCUGGAAGCAAGCCGCUUGUUUCAGAGGCGUUUUUUCACAAUGACUGACGUUGAAAGUGGAAAGAAAGAUGUGUGUAAAAAAGACCCAUCUACCACUGAAAAUAAGCAAAAACCUACUGCACCUAUCACAUCAAAAAUCCGAGCAUAUUCCGGUGUAAUCUCGUUCUUCAAAUAUUUUGGUGGAGGGUUCUUUGUGUGGUCGGUUGGCUGUUGGGAUUUUAACUAUGGUUGGCUACUGUCUGGUAUUGCUAUUUACACACUCUAUAAAUGUUAUAAAAAAGAUAAAAAGUUUGGAGUCGAACCGCCAGCUGAAUUUGUCGAUGCAAACGAUACAAGCCGUAUGAAAGAUUUGCCAAAUUGGGU
Paramuricea clavata is the source of this 444-nucleotide non-coding RNA. Lineage: Eukaryota; Metazoa; Cnidaria; Anthozoa; Malacalcyonacea; Plexauridae. The record is from the annotation of a GenBank genome assembly.